GAGCGGUAACAGGGGGAGCUUGCUCCCCGCUGACGAGCGGCGGACGGGUGAGUAAUGCAUAGGAAACUGCCCAGUAGUGGGGGAUAGCCCGGGGAAACCCGGAUUAAUACCGCAUACGCCCUUCGGGGGAAAGCAGGGGAUCUUCGGACCUUGCGCUAUUGGAUGUGCCUAUGUCGGAUUAGCUAGUUGGUGGGGUAAGAGCCUACCAAGGCGACGAUCCGUAGCUGGUCUGAGAGGAUGAUCAGCCACAUCGGGACUGAGACACGGCCCGAACUCCUACGGGAGGCAGCAGUGGGGAAUAUUGGACAAUGGGGGCAACCCUGAUCCAGCCAUGCCGCGUGUGUGAAGAAGGCUUUCGGGUUGUAAAGCACUUUCAGUGAGGAGGAAAACCUUACGACUAAUACUCGUGAGGCUUGACGUUACUCACAGAAGAAGCACCGGCUAACUCCGUGCCAGCAGCCGCGGUAAUACGGAGGGUGCAAGCGUUAAUCGGAAUUACUGGGCGUAAAGCGCGCGUAGGUGGUUUGAUAAGCGAGAUGU
Molecule: ribosomal RNA, 540 nt
Filed under: Marinobacter sp. Ar-51
Lineage: Bacteria; Pseudomonadati; Pseudomonadota; Gammaproteobacteria; Pseudomonadales; Marinobacteraceae
Description: bacterial SSU rRNA
Rfam family: Bacterial small subunit ribosomal RNA
Source: RNAcentral